This 403-nucleotide ribosomal RNA is filed under the name uncultured bacterium. RNAcentral describes it as "partial 16S ribosomal RNA". It matches the Rfam family "Bacterial small subunit ribosomal RNA", at positions 30 to 526 of the family's 1533-position model. The record is from RNAcentral.
AUUGAACGCUGGCGGCAGGCCUAACACAUGCAAGUCGAGCGAGCGGCGGACGGGUGAUUAAUGUAUGUGGACUUUCCGAUAGAGGGGGAUAACUACUGGCAACGGUAUCUAAUACCGCAUACUAUCGGAUAACCCAUAUGGGAUUAGCUAGUAGGUUAGGUAAUGGCUCACCUAGUCUACGAUCCCUAGCUGGUCUGAGAGUAUGAUCAGCCACCAUGGGACUGAGACACGGCCCAGACUCCUACGGAGGCAGCAGUGGGGAAUAUUGCACAAUGGGCGCAAGCCGGAUGCAGCCAUGCCGCGUGUAUGAAGAAGGCCCUAGGGUUGUAAAGUACUUUCAGUCGGGAGGCGUUACCGACAGAAGAAGCACCGGCUAACUCCGUGCCAGCAGCCGCGGUAAUUC